CUUCAAAGAGAAGUGUAG
This 18-nucleotide small nuclear RNA is filed under the name Arabidopsis thaliana (thale cress). RNAcentral describes it as "snRNA_17436". The record is from RNAcentral. Lineage: Eukaryota; Viridiplantae; Streptophyta; Magnoliopsida; Brassicales; Brassicaceae.